This 444-nucleotide ribosomal RNA is filed under the name uncultured bacterium. RNAcentral's name for it is "SSU rRNA". It matches the Rfam family "Bacterial small subunit ribosomal RNA", at positions 26 to 518 of the family's 1533-position model. The record is from RNAcentral.
AGGAUGAACGCUGGCGGCGUGCUUAAUACAUGCAAGUCGAACGCACCUUCGGGUGAGUGGCGGACGGGUGAGUAACACGUGGGAACGUGCCUUUUGGUUCGGAAUAAUCCGGGGAAACCUGGCCUAAUACCGGAUGUGCCCUUCGGGGGAAAGAUUUAUCGCCAUUAGAGCGGCCCGCGUCUGAUUAGCUUGUUGGUGGGGUAAUGGCCCACCAAGGCUACGAUCAGUAGCUGGUCUGAGAGGAUGAUCAGCCACACUGGGACUGAGACACGGCCCAGACUCCUACGGGAGGCAGCAGUAGGGAAUCUUGCGCAAUGGGCGAAAGCCUGACGCAGCCAUGCCGCGUGAAUGAUGAAGGUCUUAGGAUUGUAAAGUCCUUUUAACGGGGAAGAUAAUGACGGUACCCGUAGAAUAAGCCCCGGCUAACUUCGUGCCAGCAGCCGC